This 189-nucleotide ribosomal RNA is filed under the name uncultured bacterium. RNAcentral's name for it is "partial 16S ribosomal RNA". It matches the Rfam family "Bacterial small subunit ribosomal RNA", at positions 338 to 524 of the family's 1533-position model. The record is from RNAcentral.
UCUAGGGGAGGCAGCAGUGAGGAAUAUUGGUCAAUGGGCGGAAGCCUGAACCAGCCAAGUAGCGUACAGGAUGACGGCCCUAUGGGUUGUAAACUGCUUUUAUACAGGAAUAAAGUUAGCCACGUGUGGUUAUUUGUAGGUACUGUAUGAAUAAGGACCGGCUAAUUCCGUGCCAGCAGCCGCGGUAAU